Rhincodon typus (whale shark) is the source of this 1315-nucleotide long non-coding RNA. RefSeq lists it as uncharacterized. The transcript is spliced from 2 exons. NCBI's taxonomy places the organism in Eukaryota, Metazoa, Chordata, Chondrichthyes, Orectolobiformes, Rhincodontidae. The record is from RefSeq and is a predicted model, not a curated record.
GUGGCGCAAUUUCAAGUGAGGGAGCUCGAACGGCGACGGUUGGGCGGGUAUCGGUGGCCGCUGAGAGAUUGGGGCUCACUCCGGCACUUCUUUAAAACUGGAGUUUGGGGAUCUGUUUCUGAUAGAAGCUUGCAUCCUGGCAGUAAAUGUAAAGCUGCGAGGACGAUCAGUAAAAUCGUGGGUUGGGCUGGGUGGAGAGUUUGUGCCAAGCCGUCGAGCUUCCCUUUGACAGCUCGAGCGUUGCCUCUCGCCUACCGCCCCCCCCCCCAAAAAAAAACACUCCUUUUGGGGGACAAAGAAAUUGUGGUUGCAUAUGCAGAAUGAUGGUGCUGAUUUCCAGUCUUCCAUGCAAUUCAACAGAAGAUGAUGAAAAUUGCAGAUGAAGAUUGAUGACCAGUAACAAAUUGCUGUUUUCUUUUGUCACAAACUAAACCAUUGUUUCAAACAAAAAGAAUAGCUUUUCAAAUCUUGAUUUCACACGAUGAGCUUUGGUUGAUGGUCCAUUUUGUGUGGAUUCUUGACCUAUGAGUUGAGGAUGACAGUGGUAAAAAUUACACAGAUUGUGAGCUGAUUUCAAUUGAAAAAUAAUGGCUACUCAAACAGAACUAUCAUCAAAAUUUAAUCAAGCAGGAAGACAAAACCUGACUGGCACAGUUAAAACGGUAUGACAAAUCAUCUGUAAAUUGAUGCUUUGCUUUCUUCUAUGUGGAGUUAUAAUUUCUUUACUACGUUGAAAUCAUGUUCAUGGGUUGAGGUGGGUCUGCUCUGUGCAUAAUUUGAUAUAACGAGUACUUUCACGUAUUGGAAAAAAAUCUUUAAUUCACUUUAUAACAUGAUUACACCUAUUUUUUGAAUAAUUGGUGUUAAUAUUUGUUAACACCUGAAACUGUAAAUAUGGAUUAUUAUGGAUGUUGGCUUUGUACAUGCCUGAGAAGAGCCUUGGGACUUUUUUAAGGUGUUAUAUAAAUGCAAGUAGUUUGCCUUUUUUAUGCAGAAUUUUUUUUUAGAAGUUCUUCACUGGAUAUAUAAACUUGGUUUGAGAGGUCUAAGAAAUUAUUUCCAAUGUUGCUGUCAUCAGUUGAUCAUAAUUUUUUUCACAGGUUACUUUUGUUAAUACAGUGAACUCUUUAAUCUUUUAAAAAUGCUUCUAAUUUAGAUUUAGGAGUGUAAUGAGCUUUUAAGUUUAAAAUCAGAAUUAAAAAUUAACUAUUUGACUCGUUGAAAUGAAUACAUUGCAUCAGCCUACUGAGAUCAUUUUGCCAAUCCGAUAUGGUUUGUAAACAAAAAACUUGUAAAGUUCAUAUACAAUUCAAAA